CCUACGGGAGGCUGCAGUGAGGAAUAUUGGUCAAUGGGCGUAAGCCUGAACCAGCCAAGUCGCGUGAGGGAUGAAUGUUCUAUGGAUCGUAAACCUCUUUUAUAAGGGAAUAAAGUGUGGCACGUGUCCUAUUUUGUAUGUACCUUAUGAAUAAGGAUCGGCUAACUCCGUGCCAGCAGCCGCGGUAAUACGGAGGAUCCGAGCGUUAUCCGGAUUUAUUGGGUUUAAAGGGUGCGUAGACGGCGUUUUAAGUCAGCGGUGAAAGUCUGUGGCUCAACCAUAGAAUUGCAGUUGAAACUGGGGGGCUUGAGUACAGUUGAGGCAGGCGGAAUGCGUGGUGUAGCGGUGAAAUGCUUAGAUAUCACGAAGAACCCCGAUUGCGAAGGCAGCUUGCCAAGCCACGACUGACGCUGAUGCACGAAAGUGUGGGUAUCAAACAGGAUUAGAUACCCGGGUAGUC
RNAcentral lists this ribosomal RNA (460 nucleotides) under uncultured bacterium. Its description in RNAcentral is "partial 16S ribosomal RNA". It matches the Rfam family "Bacterial small subunit ribosomal RNA", at positions 338 to 795 of the family's 1533-position model. The record is from RNAcentral.